Molecule: ribosomal RNA, 466 nt
Filed under: uncultured Desulfovibrio sp.
Lineage: Bacteria; Pseudomonadati; Thermodesulfobacteriota; Desulfovibrionia; Desulfovibrionales; Desulfovibrionaceae
Description: partial 16S ribosomal RNA
Source: RNAcentral
GACUACCGGGGUAUCUAAGCCUGUUUGCUCCCCACGCUUUCGCGCCUCAGCGUCAGUACCUGUCCAGGUGGCCGCCUUCGCCACCGGUGUUCCUCCGGAUAUCUACGGAUUUCACUCCUACACCCGGAAUUCCGCCACCCUCUCCAGGACUCAAGCCUCGCAGUAUCGAACGCAGUUCCCCGGUUGAGCCGAGGGCUUUCACGUCCGACUUACAAAGCGGCCUACGCGCGCUUUACGCCCAGUGAUUCCGAUUAACGCUUGCACCCUCCGUAUUACCGCGGCUGCUGGCACGGAGUUAGCCGGUGCUUCCUUUGAAAGUACCGUCAGUCCCAAGCCCUAUUCGGACUUGGGAGGUUCUUCCUUUCUGACAGAGGUUUACGACCCGAAAGCCUUCUUCCCUCACACGGCGUCGCUGCGUCAGGGUUUCCCCCAUUGCGCAAUAUUCCCCACUGCAGCCACCCGUAGG